This 1173-nucleotide ribosomal RNA is filed under the name uncultured Bacteroides sp. Its description in RNAcentral is "bacterial SSU rRNA". It matches the Rfam family "Bacterial small subunit ribosomal RNA", at positions 10 to 1177 of the family's 1533-position model. Lineage: Bacteria; Pseudomonadati; Bacteroidota; Bacteroidia; Bacteroidales; Bacteroidaceae. The record is from RNAcentral.
AGUUUGAUCCUGGCUCAGGAUGAACGCUAGCUACAGGCUUAACACAUGCAAGUCGAGGGGCAGCAUUUUAGUUUGCUUGCAAACUAAAGAUGGCGACCGGCGCACGGGUGAGUAACACGUAUCCAACCUGCCGAUAACUCGGGGAUAGCCUUUCGAAAGAAAGAUUAAUAUCCGAUAGUAUAUUAAAACCGCAUGGUUUUACUAUUAAAGAAUUUCGGUUAUCGAUGGGGAUGCGUUCCAUUAGUUUGUUGGCGGGGUAACGGCCCACCAAGACUACGAUGGAUAGGGGUUCUGAGAGGAAGGUCCCCCACAUUGGAACUGAGACACGGUCCAAACUCCUACGGGAGGCAGCAGUGAGGAAUAUUGGUCAAUGGACGAGAGUCUGAACCAGCCAAGUAGCGUGAAGGAUGACUGCCCUAUGGGUUGUAAACUUCUUUUAUAUGGGAAUAAAGUAUUCCACGUGUGGAAUUUUGUAUGUACCAUAUGAAUAAGGAUCGGCUAACUCCGUGCCAGCAGCCGCGGUAAUACGGAGGAUCCGAGCGUUAUCCGGAUUUAUUGGGUUUAAAGGGAGCGUAGGUGGAUUGUUAAGUCAGUUGUGAAAGUUUGCGGCUCAACCGUAAAAUUGCAGUUGAAACUGGCAGUCUUGAGUACAGUAGAGGUGGGCGGAAUUCGUGGUGUAGCGGUGAAAUGCUUAGAUAUCACGAAGAACUCCGAUUGCGAAGGCAGCUCACUAGACUGCAACUGACACUGAUGCUCGAAAGUGUGGGUAUCAAACAGGAUUAGAUACCCUGGUAGUCCACACAGUAAACGAUGAAUACUCGCUGUUUGCGAUAUACAGUAAGCGGCCAAGCGAAAGCAUUAAGUAUUCCACCUGGGGAGUACGCCGGCAACGGUGAAACUCAAAGGAAUUGACGGGGGCCCGCACAAGCGGAGGAACAUGUGGUUUAAUUCGAUGAUACGCGAGGAACCUUACCCGGGCUUAAAUUGCAUUUGAAUAAUCUGGAAACAGGUUAGCCGCAAGGCAAAUGUGAAGGUGCUGCAUGGUUGUCGUCAGCUCGUGCCGUGAGGUGUCGGCUUAAGUGCCAUAACGAGCGCAACCCUUAUCUUUAGUUACUAACAGGUCAUGCUGAGGACUCUAGAGAGACUGCCGUCGUAAGAUGUGAGGAAGGUGGA